UGGCGGACGGGUGAGUAAUGUAUCGGGACCUACCUGAACGUGGGGGAUAACGUAGAAACUUACGCUAAUACCGCAUACGUCUACGGGAGAAAGCAGGGGACCUUCGGGCCCUGCGGUCAGACGGACCGAUGUUCGAUUAGCUAGUUGGUGAGGUAAUGGCUCACCAAGGCGGAUCGAUAGCUGGUCUGAGAGGAUGAUCAGCCACACUGGAACUGAGACACGGUCCAGACCUACGGGAGGCAGCAGUGGGGAAUAUUGGACAAUGGGCGCAAGCCUGAUCCAGCAAUCGCGUGUGUGAAGAAGGCCUUCGGGUUGUAAAGCACUUUUAUCGGGAGCGAAAUACCAGGUUAAUACCCGGUGGGGCUGACGGUACCCGAGGAAUAAGCACCGGCUAACUUCGUGCGCAGCCGCGGUAAUACGAAGGGUGCAAGCGUUAAUCGGAAUUACUGGGCGUAAAGGGUGUAGGCGGUUAGUUAAGUCUGUCGUGAAAUCCCCGGGCUCAACCUGGGAAUGGCGAUGUACUGGCUGGCUAGAGUGUGUCAGAGGAUGGUGGAAUUUCCGGUGUAGCGGUGAAAUGUAGAGAUCGGAAGGAACAUCAGUGGCGAAGGCGGCCAUCUGGGACAACACUGACGCUG
This 635-nucleotide ribosomal RNA is filed under the name uncultured bacterium. Its description in RNAcentral is "bacterial SSU rRNA". It matches the Rfam family "Bacterial small subunit ribosomal RNA", at positions 96 to 748 of the family's 1533-position model. The record is from RNAcentral.